GAUGUCUUUUCCGCCCAUGUUGAAAGGGAUUUGGGAUCAAGUGAAGGAUGACAGCACUGGAAGACUUGGGUAAACCUGAAACAGAUCAGCUUGUAAGAAGCCCUUGGACGCCGUUGUGAAACUUCCAGAGAGCAGCGCCGUUAAAACUUCUGAAAACAGAACCAAAGGUGAAAGUGAUUCUGAAAUCACUCGUUGGAGCAGCUGCUGCAGAUUUUCACAAUGCCAGGCAGCUGAAUGGUGCCAAGCGCCUUCACACUUCACACACAGAGCACUUGCAUAAACUCUAAGUUUCUGCUUACCAUUUACAUGUACAUCCAUGAAAGAUUUUAAACUUAACGUCAUCCGCAUUUAAUUUAAUGUAUGCUAUUAUAGUAUAUUC
This is a long non-coding RNA of Gasterosteus aculeatus aculeatus (three-spined stickleback), 379 nucleotides long. NCBI's taxonomy places the organism in Eukaryota, Metazoa, Chordata, Actinopteri, Perciformes, Gasterosteidae. The record is from Ensembl.